GUAGGUGGCAAGCGUUGUCCGGAAUUAUUGGGCGUAAAGCGCGCGCAGGCGGUUCUUUAAGUCUGAUGUGAAAGCCCACGGGCUCAACCGUGGAGGGUCAUUGGAAACUGGAGAACUUGAGUACAGAAGAGGAAAGCGGAAUUCCACGUGUAGCGGUGAAAUGCGUAGAGAUGUGGAGGAACACCAGUGGCGAAGGCGGCUUUCUGGUCUGUAACUGACGCUGAGGCGCGAAAGCGUGGGGAGCAAACAGGAUUAGAUACCCUGGUAGUCCACGCCGUAAACGAUGAGUGCUAAGUGUUACGGGGGUUUCCGCCCCUUAGUGCUGCAGCUAACGCAUUAAGCACUCCGCCUGGGGAGUACGGCCGCAAAGGCUG
RNAcentral lists this ribosomal RNA (374 nucleotides) under uncultured organism. RNAcentral's name for it is "partial 16S ribosomal RNA". It matches the Rfam family "Bacterial small subunit ribosomal RNA", at positions 527 to 896 of the family's 1533-position model. The record is from RNAcentral.